UCAUGUAAAUCUGUAGCCGAGAAGACUGGGAAUCAUGAAAGUCUUUGGAAAUUAAACCCUUUAUCUUCAAAAUGUGGUGUUAUUGCUUCUGAAUGGGAGAGUUAAAGGCUGAAACCUGCUGCUAAACGACCUUGCUCAAUAUGUUUGUAGGUGCAGCUCAAAGAGAAUCCAACGGAUUCCUUCUUGUUUCUUUGCAAGUAGGUGACGCCUCACAGUCAAUAUGGCAAGAAUUUUUCACUGGACAGAACUCACAGGCCACGCAGACUAAAUCUGGAGAAACACCCAUGUGGGAAUCAAACAGGAAAUCCUAACACCUGAUGACUCCACCUGUUCCCCCAACUCACUCCAGGCACAGCUGAGGUGAUUAACAAGUACUAGUAAACUAGGCCUUGGACACAUACUGGAUUUCGUUACUUGUCAAAACAUGCGUGACAGAGUGUUCUUGAUUGAUUUGAAGUUUCAUUACAAGAUCCUGUCAGAGGGAAGAAAACUAUGGAAGAUUAAUUCUACUCAGCUGAACUUGUCAGUGAUGAGUGUAACUGUGUUUUAAAGCAGAAUUCCAAGUCUUCAGGCAUGGCAGAGAAUCAACUGGUUACUCAAGAUAUGAUCACCAAACUAUUAGAUACACUGGUUAUAGUCCUCCUGGUUAAAUAUUUCAAAAACACUCAAUUAAGAGGUCAAUCGAUAUAGUUGUGCAAAUCCAAAGCUUUGUAAUGCAAUCUGAAUGUAAACCCAAUUGACCCUAGUAAAAGUGAAGUCAUGGAACUAGUGCAUCUAUAGAGAAUAAAAAAGCAACAGGUUUCUAAUGACAAAUGCAAGGCAAAUUUCUCUCCCUUGGGUCAAUUUCAGCAAAAUGGGUGGGCACAGCACAUUCCCUUCCAUUUGGAGAAAGAUAGGGCAAAGCAGAGACGAC
Molecule: long non-coding RNA, 913 nt
Filed under: Homo sapiens (human)
Lineage: Eukaryota; Metazoa; Chordata; Mammalia; Primates; Hominidae
Description: HSALNT0306361
Source: RNAcentral